This 1506-nucleotide ribosomal RNA is filed under the name uncultured bacterium. RNAcentral's name for it is "16S ribosomal RNA". It matches the Rfam family "Bacterial small subunit ribosomal RNA". The record is from RNAcentral.
UAGAGUUUGAUCCUGGCUCAGAUUGAACGCUGGCGGCAGGCCUAACACAUGCAAGUCGAACGGUAACAGGAAGCAGCUUGCUGCUUCGCUGACGAGUGGCGGACGGGUGAGUAAUGUCUGGGAAACUGCCCGGUGGAGGGGGAUAACUACUGGAAACGGUAGCUAAUACCGCAUAACGUCGCAAGACCAAAGAGGGGGACCUUCGGGCCUCUUGCCACCGGAUGUGCCCAGAUGGGAUUAGCUUGUUGGUGAGGUAACGGCUCACCAAGGCGACGAUCCCUAGCUGGUCUGAGAGGAUGACCAGCCACACUGGAACUGAGACACGGUCCAGACUCCUACGGGAGGCAGCAGUGGGGAAUAUUGCACAAUGGGCGCAAGCCUGAUGCAGCCAUGCCGCGUGUAUGAAGAAGGCCUUCGGGUUGUAAAGUACUUUCAGCGGGGAGGAAGGGAUUGUGGUUAAUAACCGCAGUCAUUGACGUUACCCGCAGAAGAAGCACCGGCUAACUCCGUGCCAGCAGCCGCGGUAAUACGGAGGGUGCAAGCGUUAAUCGGAAUUACUGGGCGUAAAGCGCACGCAGGCGGUCUGUCAAGUCGGAUGUGAAAUCCCCGGGCUCAACCUGGGAACUGCAUUCGAAACUGGCAGGCUUGAGUCUCGUAGAGGGGGGUGGAAUUCCAGGUGUAGCGGUGAAAUGCGUAGAGAUCUGGAGGAAUACCGGUGGCGAAGGCGGCCCCCUGGACGAAGACUGACGCUCAGGUGCGAAAGCGUGGGGAGCAAACAGGAUUAGAUCCCUGGUAGUCCACGCCGUAAACGAUGUCUACUUGGAGGUUGUGCCCCUGAGGCGUGGCUUCCGGAGCUAACGCGUUAAGUAGACCGCCUGGGGAGUACGGCCGCAAGGUUAAAACUCAAAUGAAUUGACGGGGGCCCGCACAAGCGGUGGAGCAUGUGGUUUAAUUCGAUGCAACGCGAAGAACCUUACCUGGUCUUGACAUCCACGGAAGACUGCAGAGAUGCGGUUGUGCCUUCGGGAGCCGUGAGACAGGUGCUGCAUGGCUGUCGUCAGCUCGUGUUGUGAAAUGUUGGGUUAAGUCCCGCAACGAGCGCAACCCUUAUCCUUUGUUGCCAGCGGUUAGGCCGGGAACUCAAAGGAGACUGCCAGUGAUAAACUGGAGGAAGGUGGGGAUGACGUCAAGUCAUCAUGGCCCUUACGACCAGGGCUACACACGUGCUACAAUGGCAUAUACAAAGAGAAGCGACCUCGCGAGAGCAAGCGGACCUCAUAAAGUAUGUCGUAGUCCGGAUUGGAGUCUGCAACUCGACUCCAUGAAGUCGGAAUCGCUAGUAAUCGUGGAUCAGAAUGCCACGGUGAAUACGUUCCCGGGCCUUGUACACACCGCCCGUCACACCAUGGGAGUGGGUUGCAAAAGAAGUAGGUAGCUUAACCUUCGGGAGGGCGCUUACCACUUUGUGAUUCAUGACUGGGGUGAAGUCGUAACAAGGUAACCGUA